Non-coding RNA from Caenorhabditis elegans, 21 nucleotides. The record is from Ensembl. NCBI's taxonomy places the organism in Eukaryota, Metazoa, Nematoda, Chromadorea, Rhabditida, Rhabditidae.
UGAUCUUUACGGGCUUACGAA